CCUCAUGAAGCUGGAGUUACUAGUAAUCGCAGAUCAGAAUGCUGCGGUGAAUGCGUUCCCGGGUCUUGUACACACCGCCCGUCACACCACGGAAGUUGGGGGCGCCCGAAGCCACUUAGCUAACCCUUUUGGGAAGCGAGUGUCGAAGGUGAAAUCAAUAACUGGGGUGAAGUCGUAACAAGGUAAC
This 187-nucleotide ribosomal RNA is filed under the name uncultured bacterium. RNAcentral's name for it is "partial 16S ribosomal RNA". It matches the Rfam family "Bacterial small subunit ribosomal RNA", at positions 1316 to 1500 of the family's 1533-position model. The record is from RNAcentral.